GGGGACCCGCAAGCGGUGGAUGAUGUGGAUUAAUUCGAUGCAACGCGAAAAACCUUACCUACCCUUGACAUGGCAGGAAUCCCCGAGAGAUCGGGGAGUGCUCGAAAGAGAACCUGCACACAGGUGCUGCAUGGCUGUCGUCAGCUCGUGUCGUGAGAUGUUGGGUUAAGUCCCGCAACGAGCGCAACCCUUGUCAUUAGUUGCUACGAAAGGGCACUCUAAUGAGACUGCUGCCGGUGACAAACCGGAGGAAGGUGGGGAUGACGUCAAGUCCUCAUGGCCCUUAUGGGUAGGACUUCACACGUCAUACAAUGGUACAUACAGAGGGCCGCCAACCCGCGAGGGGGAGCUAAUCCCAGAAAGUGUAUCGUAGUCCGGAUUGUAGUCUGCAACUCGACUGCAUGAAGUUGGAAUCGCUAGUAAUCGCGGAUCAGCAUGUCGCGGUGAAUACGUUCCCGGGUCUUGUACACACC
This 473-nucleotide ribosomal RNA is filed under the name uncultured bacterium. Its description in RNAcentral is "bacterial SSU rRNA". It matches the Rfam family "Bacterial small subunit ribosomal RNA", at positions 915 to 1391 of the family's 1533-position model. The record is from RNAcentral.